Molecule: ribosomal RNA, 250 nt
Filed under: uncultured prokaryote
Description: partial 16S rRNA
Rfam family: Bacterial small subunit ribosomal RNA
Source: RNAcentral
ACGUAGGGAGCGAGCGUUGUCCGGAAUUACUGGGCGUAAAGGGCGCGUAGGCGGGUGUUUAAGUCAGAUGUGAAAACUACGGGCUCAACCUGUAGACUGCAUUUGAAACUGGUCAUCUUGAGGGCAGGAGAGGAAAGUGGAAUUCCUAGUGUAGCUGCAAAUGCAUAAAAUCUGAGAGGGACCCUCCGGGGGAAGGGCGCUUUUCUGGAGUGUCCCGCAGCUUGGGGGGCAACAGGGUGGGAGCGAACAG